RNAcentral lists this ribosomal RNA (253 nucleotides) under uncultured bacterium. RNAcentral's name for it is "partial 16S ribosomal RNA". It matches the Rfam family "Bacterial small subunit ribosomal RNA", at positions 524 to 776 of the family's 1533-position model. The record is from RNAcentral.
UACAGAGGGUGCAAGCGUUGCUCGGAAUUAUUGGGCGUAAAGGGUAGGUAGGUGGUCUUAUUUGUCUGAGGUGAAAGCCUUGAGCUUAACUCAAGAAGUGCCUCAGAAACGGUAGGACUAGAGUCCUGGAGAGGGUCGUGGAAUUCCCGGUGUAGCGGUGAAAUGCGUAGAGAUCGGGAGGAACACCAGAGGCGAAAGCGGCGACCUGGAAAGGAACUGACACUCAACUACGAAAGCGUGGGGAGCAAACAGG